GUGGGGAAUAUUGCACAAUGGGCGCAAGCCUGAUGCAGCCAUGCCGCGUGUAUGAAGAAGGCCUUCGGGUUGUAAAGUACUUUCAGCAGUGAGGAAGGUGGAUAUGUUAAUAGCAUAUUCAUUUGACGUUAGCUGCAGAAGAAGCACCGGCUAACUCCGUGCCAGCAGCCGCGGUAAUACGGAGGGUGCGAGCGUUAAUCGGAAUUACUGGGCGUAAAGCGCAUGCAGGUGGUUUGUUAAGUCAGAUGUGAAAGCCCGGGGCUCAACCUCGGAAUUGCAUUUAGAAACUGGACAAACUAGAGUACUGUAGAGGGGGUAGAAUUUCAGGUGUAGCGGUGAAAUGCGUAGAGAUCUGAAGGAAUACCGGUGGCGAAGGCGGCCCCCUGGACAGAUACUGACACUCAGAUGCGAAAGCGUGGGGAGCAAACAGGAUUAGAUACCCUGGUAG
This 448-nucleotide ribosomal RNA is filed under the name uncultured bacterium. Its description in RNAcentral is "bacterial SSU rRNA". It matches the Rfam family "Bacterial small subunit ribosomal RNA", at positions 354 to 793 of the family's 1533-position model. The record is from RNAcentral.